This 247-nucleotide ribosomal RNA is filed under the name uncultured Eubacteriales bacterium. RNAcentral's name for it is "uncultured Clostridiales bacterium partial 16S ribosomal RNA". It matches the Rfam family "Bacterial small subunit ribosomal RNA", at positions 796 to 1041 of the family's 1533-position model. The record is from RNAcentral. Lineage: Bacteria; Bacillati; Bacillota; Clostridia; Eubacteriales.
CACGCCGUAAACGAUGAAUACUAGGUGUAGGGGGUAUCGACCCCCCCUGUGCCGCAGUUAACACAAUAAGUAUUCCACCUGGGGAGUACGGCCGCAAGGUUGAAACUCAAAGGAAUUGACGGGGGCCCGCACAAGCAGUGGAGUAUGUGGUUUAAUUCGACGCAACGCGAAGAACCUUACCAGGGCUUGACAUCCUCUGGCCGGCGCAGAGAUGCGCCUUUCCCUUCGGGGACAGAGAGACAGGUGG